AUUGAACGCUGGCGGCAUGCCUUACACAUGCAAGUCGAACGGCAGCACGGGAGCAAUCCUGGUGGCGAGUGGCGAACGGGUGAGUAAUAUAUCGGAACGUGCCCAGUCGUGGGGAUAACGUAGCGAAAGCUACGCUAAUACCGCAUACGAUCUAUGGAUGAAAGCGGGGGAUCGCAAGACCUCGCGCGAUUGGAGCGGCCGAUAUCAGAUUAGGUAGUUGGUGAGGUAAAGGCUCACCAAGCCGACGAUCUGUAGCUGGUCUGAGAGGACGACCAGCCACACUGGGACUGAGACACGGCCCAGACUCCUACGGGAGGCAGCAGUGGGGGAAUUUUGGACAAUGGGCGCAAGCCUGAUCCAGCAAUGCCGCGUGCAGGAUGAAGGCCUCGGUUGGUAA
RNAcentral lists this ribosomal RNA (397 nucleotides) under uncultured bacterium. Its description in RNAcentral is "bacterial SSU rRNA". It matches the Rfam family "Bacterial small subunit ribosomal RNA", at positions 30 to 428 of the family's 1533-position model. The record is from RNAcentral.